Molecule: ribosomal RNA, 129 nt
Filed under: Trichoderma harzianum
Lineage: Eukaryota; Fungi; Ascomycota; Sordariomycetes; Hypocreales; Hypocreaceae
Description: partial large subunit ribosomal RNA
Source: RNAcentral
GUUCGUCGCGGGGGAAAAAGGCUUCGGGAACGUGGCUCCUCCGGGAGUGUUAUAGCCCGUUGCAUAAUACCCUGCGGUGGACUGAGGACCGCGCAUCUGCAAGGAUGCUGGCGUAAUGGUCACCAGCGA